GGUUAGAGGAAGUUCAUGGAGAUGGGUGGCUGGGCAAGAAGAAAAAGAUGUUUUGUCUAAUCGUGGGUCAUCUUCUUGCCUACUCCACCCAUUCCAUCCACUUCCUUGAACUU
Molecule: microRNA precursor, 113 nt
Filed under: Hevea brasiliensis (rubber tree)
Lineage: Eukaryota; Viridiplantae; Streptophyta; Magnoliopsida; Malpighiales; Euphorbiaceae
Description: miR482 stem-loop (hbr-MIR482a)
Gene: hbr-MIR482a
Source: miRBase by way of RNAcentral